Molecule: unclassified non-coding RNA, 405 nt
Filed under: uncultured fungus
Lineage: Eukaryota; Fungi
Description: partial internal transcribed spacer 1
Source: RNAcentral
CACUCGAACUGAGUACCUUCAACGACGCGGCGCAGCAGGGUGUUACGAACAACACGCAUGUAUACGCCAGCUUCACGACCUGCUUUACGCAGUUCAGUCAUUUUAUCUACAGUUACGCCACGGGAAUCCGCAACUACUGCAGACAGCGCGCCUUUGGCUACUUCGCUGACUUCAGCAACAAUCGCUUGUUUGUCUUGAAGAUUUAAAGCCAUUAGCUUUGCUCCUGGAUGUUUGCCGGAACUCAUGUUCCGGAACUCACUUCACUCAUCUCAACGAGAAGAGCGUCUUAAUACGGUGAGCAGAAACAAGCCAGAGUAUCAAAAAUAAUCUUAGCGUUCUGUCACCGUCUACGCAGGGGAUUAAGCCUCUUGUGAGACGCCUGCGGUCUUCGACGGAGGCCUGGAU